GCCAGGCGCGGUGGCACGUGCCUGUAGUCCCAGCUACUCAGGAGGCUGAGGUGGAAGGAUCGCUUCAGCCCAGGAGUUCUGGGCUGUAGUGCGCUAUGCCGAUCGGGUGUCUGCACUAAGUUCGGCAUCAAUAUGGUGACCUCCCAGGAGCGGGAGACCACCAGCUUGCCUAAGGAGGGGCGAACCAGCCCAGGUUGGGAACGGAACAGGUCAAAACUCCCGUGCUGAUCAGUAGUGGGAUCGCUCCUGUGAAUAGCCACUGCAUUCCAGCCUGGGCAACAUAGGGAGACCCCAUCUCU
RNAcentral lists this signal recognition particle RNA (299 nucleotides) under Saimiri boliviensis boliviensis (Bolivian squirrel monkey). RNAcentral's name for it is "Metazoan signal recognition particle RNA (ENSSBOG00000015467.1)". It matches the Rfam family "Metazoan signal recognition particle RNA". Rfam says of the family: The signal recognition particle (SRP) is a universally conserved ribonucleoprotein. It is involved in the co-translational targeting of proteins to membranes. The eukaryotic SRP consists of a 300-nucleotide 7S RNA and six proteins: SRPs 72, 68, 54, 19, 14, and 9. Lineage: Eukaryota; Metazoa; Chordata; Mammalia; Primates; Cebidae. The record is from RNAcentral.